This 440-nucleotide ribosomal RNA is filed under the name uncultured bacterium. RNAcentral describes it as "partial 16S ribosomal RNA". It matches the Rfam family "Bacterial small subunit ribosomal RNA", at positions 338 to 795 of the family's 1533-position model. The record is from RNAcentral.
CCUACGUGAGGCAGCAGUGGGGAAUUUUGCGCAAUGCUCGUAAGAGUGACGCAGCGACGCCGCGUGAAUGACGAAGGCCUUCGGGUCGUAAACUUCUAUCAGCAGGGAAGAAAAUGACGGUACCUGACUAAGAAGCCCCGGCUAACUACGUGCCAGCAGCCGCGGUAAUACGUAGGGGGCAAGCGUUAUCCGGAUUUACUGGGUGUAAAGGGAGCGUAGGCGGGAGAGCAAGUCAGACGUGAAAUUCCAGGGCUCAACCCUGGAACUGCGUUUGAAACUGUUCUUCUUGAGUGAUGGAGAGGCAGGCGGAAUUCCGUGUGUAGCGGUGAAAUGCGUAGAUAUACGGAGGAACACCAGUGGCGAAGGCGGCCUGCUGGACAUUAACUGACGCUGAGGCGCGAAAGCGUGGGGAGCAAACAGGAUUAGAUACCCCUGUAGUC